ACGGGGGUUGCAAGCGUUGUCCGGAAUUACUAGGCGUAAAGGGCAGGUAGGCGGAUCCAUAAGUUUUUUGUUAAAGGCAACGGCUUACCCGUUGUAAGGCAGGAGAUACUGUGGAUCUGGAAUGCGGUUGGGGAAGACAGAAUUCCUGGCGGAGCGGUGGAAUCCUGCGAUACUUGGGUGAAUACUGAUAGCGAGGGGAUACUACUAGGACGGAAUGGACACUAAGGCACGUAGGCGCGGGGAGUACUCAG
RNAcentral lists this ribosomal RNA (251 nucleotides) under uncultured prokaryote. RNAcentral describes it as "partial 16S rRNA". It matches the Rfam family "Bacterial small subunit ribosomal RNA", at positions 525 to 775 of the family's 1533-position model. The record is from RNAcentral.